Molecule: RNase P RNA, 374 nt
Filed under: Candidatus Aminicenantota bacterium
Lineage: Bacteria; Candidatus Aminicenantota
Description: Candidatus Aminicenantes bacterium RNase P RNA component class A
Rfam family: Bacterial RNase P class A
About the family: Ribonuclease P (RNase P) is a ubiquitous endoribonuclease, found in archaea, bacteria and eukarya as well as chloroplasts and mitochondria.
Source: RNAcentral
UGGAGGAGGCGGGCGUUCGCCGGGUCACCACCCGGAGGAAGGUCCGGACUCCUGACAGGCAGCAUGCCGGGUAAUCCCCGGCCGCGGCAACGCGAGGGAAAGUGCCGCAGAAAGCAAACCGCCCCCGGAUCGGCCGGGGGUCAGGGUGAAAGGGUGCGGUAAGAGCGCACCGCUUCUCCGGAAACGGAGGAGGCAUGGUAAACCCCAUGCGGAGCAAGGCCAAAUAGGGGGGUCGAGGGUCGCCUGUCCCCGCAUCCCGUUUCGGCGGGUGAGAUUCCCGGGUUGGCUGCUCGAGCCGUACGGUAACGUGCGGCCCAGAUGAAUGGACGCCGCCCCACGGGGCACAGAAUCCGGCCUAUAGCCUCCUCCAGUCA